UUACAGGCUUAGGUUUUGGUUUGCAUACAUAGUAGAUGAAGCAGUUUUUUCAUACUUUAAACAAACAAGUAAUAAUUCCGACCAAAAUGAAGGUAGUGAUUUAAGUGCUGAACAGAGAAAAUUCAGUAAAAUUCUGCUCUCAGAGGCCUCAUGGACUAGUUGUGUCGAUAGGCAAUUUCAACAUGAGAUCAUUGGAGAGGAAUAUAUCAUGUUCACUGGAAGAAGGCAAAAGAAUGUAACGACUGGAGGAAGCUUAGCAGGCAUUCAACGUUGUAUAAACUGAUUCUCUAAGCUUUUUGGAGGAGGGUUUCUGAAUGCACGGCAUUGCUUCAACAAAGGUCAACACAUGAGGACCACAUCGGUGGUAUACCUUGUCCUCCAGAUUCCAAUUGGGUUUUGCAAAUGGCGGAAAGGAGAAGAAUGAGAAUCACAACUGGCGGUGCCUACAAGGUACAUCCCAGCUUGCUGGAAAAUUUUUUUUUCACAAGACCAGAUGAGGAACUGGGACCCAGGGUGAUGAGGAGACUUUCCCAGUCAGCAUUACAAAUCCAAGACAAGAAGGCUGGUCUCCUGUCUUCUCAUCUGGUGAGCUGUCCCAUCACUCCGCUGCCUUCAGGGCUAGCCCCUCUCUCAAGCCACUCUCCUCUCCAUUCUUUCCCAAAGCCAUAGAGGGAGAUCUAUCUUCUGCGUGUGGAGGGAAGAGAGUGUGAGGGGAAGUGUUCCUCGUGGGAGCUAUGGUGGCUGUGGGAAAGUGAACAAGGCUCUAAAGGAGAAGCUGUUUCCUUGCUGUUUUCAGCUUUGAGAGGCUGCCUGCAUUCUUCCGCCGUGACUCCUCCUUCCAUCUUGAAACCCAGCAGCAUAGCAUCUACAAAUCUCUCUCACCUCUGAUUCCAAGGGAUAAGGAUAUCACCUACCUUGUUGGGUUGCUGAGAUAACUGGAUGAGUUAACGUACAACAGUGCCUGGAAUGUAGUGAGCACGGAAUAACAGAGGAGAUUUUUACCCUCCUAUUGCAAGAAGUUUAAUCUUCAUACAAGGUGAUGGGUUGAUACAUAAAUUGAGAGUGAAGUCAAGAUCUCCUCACUUCCUGAGAGGUAUUAAGUUUCUGGCUAGACUUUGACUGGAGCUGUGUCUACCACAGACCACGCCUCCAAAUGUUGCUGCUGACCAAGUCCCCAAAUGAAAAGGAAACCUCAAGGCAAGAACCAUUCAUAUAACAAUUCAUUCAGCCAUUAUCUGGUGAGCAUCCAUCAUGUGCCAGGUGAUAUAGUAAACACCAGAACUACAGGGAAGACCAGGUGCAGUCCCCACCUGCAAAGAUCUGAAGAUCAAGUGGAGAAGACGAGAAGUAAGUAUUUUGGGAAAUUGGGUCUAUGUGCUCAUCAAAGGCCAAGUCAACUAGGCUUGAUCCGUGUCUUCCCCAAGAGGCAGCAAGGAGAAGCAGCCAAGGGAAGCAGGAGAGGCUCAGUAUCCUCUUUUGGAUGCUGCCCCUAAGAACAAACCCCUCCCACGUUUUCUACCUUACGCAGAAGAAAAUCUGAGCAACACAGUCUCAUGUGUUUCCUGUGUAUCCCAUAGGGGUAUGGUCCAGUCUCUCUCUCUCUGGAAAAGGCUACAUUUUUCUCUUAGAUUAAAGUCGCCACUUCGGAAACCCAUUUUAUUUUUGAGGACGAUUAGCCCUGAGCUAACAUCUGCCACAAAUCCUCCUCUUUUUGCAGAGGAAGAUUGGCUCUGAGCUAACAUCUGUGCUCAUCUUUGUCUAUUUAAUAUGUGGGAUGCAUGCCACAGCAUGGCUUUGUAAGGGAUGCGUAGGUCCGCAACCGGGAUAUGAACCAGUGAACCCUGGGCUGCUGAAACAGACUGCUCGAAUUUAACCACUAUGCCACCGGACUGGCCCCUGGAAAACCUUUUGAAAUUCCCUACUUUUAAAACUACACACAUGUCUAGCCUAUGACCUUGUAUUUCCAUUCCAUAGAUAAAUGGGUAUCUUUGUCUACCAAAUGAGAAGAAUAAGAAUUUCAUAGAAGUCUUAUUCAUAAUAGCUAAAAACUAGAACCCAAACAUCUGUCUACAGUAGAAUGGAUAAAUUGCAGAAUAUUAAUAAAGGGGAAUUCCAUGCAACAAUAAAAGAGAAUAUCUGCCAUAAGCAACAGCACAGUUGGACCUCACAGACAUAGUAACGAACGAGUGAAAGAAGCUAGCCACAGAAGAGUACACACACUGUAUGAUUCAAUUAUGUGAAAUUCAGGAACAGGAGAAACUCAACUGCGGUGGCAAAAAGCAGAAUAUUGGUUACCUGAUUUGGGGGGUCAGGCAGGGCCAGUAGGUAAGAACUUAGGAAGGGGCACAAAGGAUCCCUCUGGGGUGUUGAAAAUAUUCCAUAUAUAUGUAAAAAUCCAUUGAUUUCUGCACUUAAGAUUUGUGUAUGGAUCUACACUUCAAUAAACCUUUUUUAUAAAUGAUCAUUGACUCUUUCCUCCCAACAGCUGGAAAUUGCUAGAAUUAUGUAUACGGUGGUGUUUCAGUCUACUGCUCUUUCCCUUAGCAGCCACCCACUUUGGGUUCUCCAUGUUUUUUUCAUAAGGGAGUCCCUCUUAGGAAAGCCGGUAUUUUGACCACAACAAAAUAUUUUGAAGUAAGAAUUGAAACACAAAUUUACAGAAACAUUUUAACAAAAAACCGUUUUCAUUAUACAUGCAAAUUCAGGACAGAUGUGGUCAGAGGAAUAACCCAAGUCCACCCACCACUAGAAGAAAAGUAAAACUUAAUAAGAAUUUUUGAAAUAUUGUAAUGAUUUUCUCCCUGGCUUCUAGUCAAGACUGCAACAGAAAUUCAGAAAUGCCACCAGAAAGGCCUCUCCGGGUACAUGUGACUAGAAUUCUCAGACAGUACUGAGUGGCUGGGGAAACCUCACAGAGCUUUGA
RNAcentral lists this long non-coding RNA (2923 nucleotides) under Equus caballus (horse). RNAcentral's name for it is "lncRNA (ENSECAG00000059829.1)". The record is from RNAcentral. Lineage: Eukaryota; Metazoa; Chordata; Mammalia; Perissodactyla; Equidae.